UCUUACCUAUUGCUUAUGAAUAGACACGUAGCAAUUCCUUCAUCUCUCCUCUGCUACUAUGUUGCUCUCUAUCUCCUCUGUUUAAAAACAAAACAAAGAGCAAGGAAUUGCAGAGAAGAUUGUUGCUACUAUGGUGCUCUUCUCUGUUUUUUCUGCGUCUGAUAUUUUAUCAGUGCAUGCAGGGCUGGUACUAAUUUCCUGAAACAAUGACACUAGGAAAGAAACUUGCUGAUCCUUUUAAUUUGAGUGUUCUAUAAAAUAGAACAACUAAGCACAACUGCAUUUAUGUGAUAAUAGGAUAUAUUAAAUAGAAUUGUUGGUUUCGGAUCGUGAAAGAAUAUUAUUAUAUGUCAUUACUUAUUU
Solanum tuberosum (potato) is the source of this 363-nucleotide long non-coding RNA. RefSeq lists it as uncharacterized. The transcript has 2 exons. NCBI's taxonomy places the organism in Eukaryota, Viridiplantae, Streptophyta, Magnoliopsida, Solanales, Solanaceae. The record is from RefSeq and is a predicted model, not a curated record.